Danio aesculapii is the source of this 477-nucleotide long non-coding RNA. RefSeq lists it as uncharacterized. The record is from RefSeq and is a predicted model, not a curated record. NCBI's taxonomy places the organism in Eukaryota, Metazoa, Chordata, Actinopteri, Cypriniformes, Danionidae. The transcript has 3 exons.
UCAAUCAAUGACUAGGGAACUGAUCCCACUGUCAAGCAAUAAGCCAUCAGCUAUUUUUCAUCGUUUUAUAUAUAUAUACACACACACAUGGCCAUCAAGGCGCAGUUUCUGCACAGACUAUAGUGCUCAGCUCUUAUUGGUAUUUAAUAGACAUCCUCCGAUGAACACGUCGCUGAAAUGCAAGAAAGCGUCUUGGAUGAAGAGGACGGAGUGACAACACUGAUCUCACAACAGGACGUCAGAUCCACACAACAGCGCUGCGCAUCUCAAGGCUUCCUCUUCCGCAUCACUGAGUCGGAUAAAAACACUGCAUUCAGACCCCGCCAACGCUGCCAUUUGCCCUCGCUGCGCGCACACACACACACACACCUGCCAGGUAUGGGGUUUGUCUGUCUCACACUGUGCGUCUGUCUGUGUUCGUCUGUAUUUGUUGAAAGCUUUCCUCCGCACCAGACACAGUCAGUUAGGGUGCAGGGA